AAUGAACGUUGGCGGCAUGGAUUAGGCAUGCAAGUCGCGCGAUAAGAUUCCUUCGGGAAUCCGAAAGCGGCGAAAGGGAGAGUAACGCGUAGAUUAUCUACCCCGAGGACUGGGAUAGCGGCGGGAAACUGCCGGUAAUACCAGAUGAUGUCUCCGGACCAAAGGUGUGAUUCCGCCUUGAGAUGAAUCUGCGUCCUAUUAGCUAGUUGGUGAGGUAACGGCUCACCAAGGCGAAGAUGGGUACCGGGUGUGAGAGCAUGACCCGGCUCACUGGGACUGAGACACUGCCCAGACACCUACGGGUGGCUGCAGUCGAGAAUCUUCGGCAAUGGGCGAAAGCCUGACCGAGCAAUGCCGCGUGCGGGAUGAAGGCCUCGGUUGUAA
This 384-nucleotide ribosomal RNA is filed under the name uncultured bacterium. Its description in RNAcentral is "bacterial SSU rRNA". It matches the Rfam family "Bacterial small subunit ribosomal RNA", at positions 29 to 428 of the family's 1533-position model. The record is from RNAcentral.